UGGGGAAUAUUGCACAAUGGGCGCAAGCCUGAUGCAGCCAUGCCGCGUGUAUGAAGAAGGCCUCCGGGUUGUAAAGUACUUUCAGCGGGGAGGAAGGGAGUAAAGUUAAUACCUUUGCUCAUUGACGUUACCCGCAGAAGAAGCACCGGCUAACUCCGUGCCAGCAGCCGCGGUCAUACGGAGGGUGCAAGCGUUAAUCGGAAUUACUGGGCGUAAAGCGCACGCAGGCGGUUGAUUGAGUCAGAUGUGAAAUCCCCGGGCUUAACCCGGGAAUUGCAUCUGAUACUGGUCAGCUAGAGUCUUGUAGAGGGGGGUAGAAUUCCAUGUGUAGCGGUGAAAUGCGUAGAGAUGUGGAGGAAUACCGGUGGCGAAGGCGGCCCCCUGGACAAAGACUGACGCUCAGGUGCGAAAGCGGGGGGAGCAAACAGG
This 429-nucleotide ribosomal RNA is filed under the name Chloroflexota bacterium. RNAcentral describes it as "Chloroflexi bacterium partial 16S ribosomal RNA". It matches the Rfam family "Bacterial small subunit ribosomal RNA", at positions 355 to 776 of the family's 1533-position model. Lineage: Bacteria; Bacillati; Chloroflexota. The record is from RNAcentral.